This 492-nucleotide ribosomal RNA is filed under the name uncultured bacterium. RNAcentral's name for it is "partial 16S ribosomal RNA". It matches the Rfam family "Bacterial small subunit ribosomal RNA", at positions 29 to 507 of the family's 1533-position model. The record is from RNAcentral.
AGUGAACGCUGGCGGUAGGCCUAACACAUGCCAGUCGAACGGCAGCACAGUAAGAGCUUGCUCUUACGGGUGGCGAGUGGCGGACGGGUGAGGAAUACAUCGGACUCUACUUUUUCGUGGGGGAUAACGUAGGGAAACUUACGCUAAUAUCGCAUACGACCUACGGGUGAAAGCAGGGGAUCUUCGGACCUUGCGCGAUUGAAUGAGCCGAUGUCGGACUAGCUAGUUGGCGGGGUAAAGGCCCACCAAGGCGACGAUCCGUAGCUGGUCUGAGAGGAUGAUCGGCCACACUGGAACUGAGACACGGUCCAGACUCCUACGGGAGGCAGCAGUGGGGAAUAUUGGACAAUGGGCGCAAGCCUGGUCCAGCCAUACCGCGUGGGUGGAGAAGGCCUUCGGGUUGUAAAGCCCUUUUGUUGGGAAAGAAAAGCAGCAGGUUAAUACCCCGCUGUUCUGACGGUACCCAAAGAAUAAGCACCGGCUAACUUCGUG